GGUGGUGUAGCUCAGUGGUAGAACACGUGCUUAGCAUGCACAAGGUCCUGGGUUCAAUCCCCAGUACCUCCA
RNAcentral lists this transfer RNA (72 nucleotides) under Camelus bactrianus (Bactrian camel). It matches the Rfam family "tRNA". From Rfam's summary of the family: Transfer RNA (tRNA) molecules are approximately 80 nucleotides in length. Their secondary structure includes four short double-helical elements and three loops (D, anti-codon, and T loops). Further hydrogen bonds mediate the characteristic L-shaped molecular structure. tRNAs have two regions of fundamental functional importance: the anti-codon, which is responsible for specific mRNA codon recognition, and the 3' end, to which the tRNAs corresponding amino acid is attached (by aminoacyl-tRNA synthetases). tRNAs cope with the degeneracy of the genetic code in two manners: having more than one tRNA (with a specific anti-codon) for a particular amino acid; and 'wobble' base-pairing, i.e. permitting non-standard base-pairing at the 3rd anti-codon position. Lineage: Eukaryota; Metazoa; Chordata; Mammalia; Artiodactyla; Camelidae. RNAcentral also lists the same sequence under 1 other name. The record is from Rfam by way of RNAcentral.